This 1005-nucleotide unclassified non-coding RNA is filed under the name Haliotis rufescens (red abalone). RNAcentral's name for it is "adipokinetic hormone/corazonin-related peptide receptor variant I-like, transcript variant X2". The record is from RNAcentral. Lineage: Eukaryota; Metazoa; Mollusca; Gastropoda; Lepetellida; Haliotidae.
CCAUGAGAACAAACAGUGUUGCAACAUAUUGCUAUCUCACCUAUAUAUAGUGUGAUUCCCUAAACAUAGUUGCGUUGGUUCAUUUCCUCAAAAUGAACAUGUCGGAGACGCUCCCCGUUGAAUUCACCAUACCAGAGGAUAAACAUCAACGUCUGGUAAUAAGCAGUGUCCUGCUGUACAUCGGAGUCUGUCUUAACAUUGCAGUACUCGUGUCGUUACUGAAAACAUGGAGGCCUGACAGCAGGAUACAGUUCUUCAUCCUUUGUCUUUGCACCGCCGACCUACUCGGUCUUUGCUUUCAUCUUGGGAUCGAUAUUGGAUGGAUUGCGACGUACGUGUGGACUGCUGGGAAUGUUGGCUGCAAGAUAUGCAUGUUCCUGCUCAAGUUUGGACACACCAUGGCUCACUACUUCCUGGCAUCGUUUAACGUUGACAACGUCAUCACCAUAUGCUGUUAUAAGUCCAGGAAGGUAACCAGGAUCCUGCUCAUUGUCGUCUCCAUCUUUGCUGCAGUAUGUGUCUGUGUCCCGGAGGCGUUCGUGUUCAGUACACAUAUUCAUCCACACUAUCAGGAACUCAUCCAGUGCGCAAAGUUCGACUUCUUUGAAGACCAGGAGUCUGAAACAAUUUACCUCGUUGUGUAUACCGUUGGCAUCUAUUGGUUUCCACUUCUUUUCGUCAUAUUCACAGGAAUACUCGCCAUCAUUGCAUGGCUUACCAAGAGGGCAACUGAGGAGUUUGAAGAAGCAAAGAAGAAAACUCCAGAUGGAAGCGACCUUCAGACAUUUGGCCUGGACCUAGCCAUGGUGUCAGCAUUUAAUGUUGUGUUCUUCGUGUGCUGGACGCCGACCUGUGUUCUCUUUCUCAUUGAGAGACUGGGUGUUUGUUUUCAGUACUCUCAACUUGGCUUAUGACCGUUUGGAGGUUUUGUGGUUGGCUUUCAAAUACAUCGCAGUCAUAAACAGCUGUCUUAAUCCUGUUAUAUACGGGAUUUUCACGUGCAUC